UGUGUCAGCAGCCGCGGUAAUACAUAGGGGGCAAGCGUUAUCCGGAAUUAUUGGGCAUAAAGGGUGCGUAGGCGGCAAGUUAAGUUUAAGGUAUAAGCUCAUGGCUCAACCAUGGGAGGCUUUAGAAACUGGCUAGCUAGAGUGCAGUAGAGGCAAGUGGAAUUCCAUGUGUAGCGGUAAAAUGCGUAAAUAUAUGGAGGAACACCAGUAGCGAAGGCGGCUUGCUGGGCUGUAACUGACGCUAAGGCACGAAAGCGUGGGGAGCAAACAGGAUUAGAUACCCUGGUAGUCCACGCCGUAAACGAUGAGUACUAAGUGUCGGGGGAAUCUCGGUGCUGAAGCAAAUGUAAUAAGUACUCCGCCUGAGUAGUACGUGCGCAAGCAUGAAACUCAAAGGAAUUGACGGGACCCUGCACAAGCGGUGGAUCAUGUUGUUUAAUUCGAGGAUACGCGAAGAACCUUACCAGGCCUUGACAUCCUCUGCAAAGCUAUAGAGAUAUAGUGGAGGUUAACAGAGAGACAGGUGGUGCACGGUUGUCGUCAGCUCGUGUCGUGAGAUGUUGGGUUAAGUCCCGUAACGAGCGCAACCCUUGUUGCUAGUUGCCAUCAUUAAGUUGGGGACUCUAGCGAGACUGCCAGUGAUAAACUGGAGGAAGGCGGGGAUGACGUCAAAUCAUCAUGCCCCUUAUGGCCUGGGCUACAAACGUGAUACAAUGGCUGAAACAAAGAGAAGCGAAGGGGUGACCUGGAGCGGAACUCAUAAAAGCAGUCUCAGUUCGGAUUGGAGUCUGCAACUCGACUCCAUGAAGUCGGAAUCGCUAGUAAUCGUAGGUCAGCAUACUACGGUGAAUACGUUCUCGGGGUUUGUACACACCGCCCGUCAAACCAGGAAAGUUGGUAAUACCCAACGCCGGUGGCCUAACCUGUAAAGGAGGGAGCCGUCUAAGGUAGGAUCAAUGAUCGGGGUUAAGUCGUAACAAGGUAACCA
RNAcentral lists this ribosomal RNA (988 nucleotides) under uncultured bacterium. Its description in RNAcentral is "bacterial SSU rRNA". It matches the Rfam family "Bacterial small subunit ribosomal RNA", at positions 504 to 1502 of the family's 1533-position model. The record is from RNAcentral.